CGUCCCAACUUUCCAGACGGUCACCCAUCCUAGAACUAUUUUAGUUCUAACACGCUUAACUCUUUUAACCUCUUGAGUCAAGUCACCGCCUAAAACGCUACAGUCGGGUUAAGAGUUUUAACCAUAUUAUAUCUUAUAUAUAGGAUUACUUGGGGUCUCGCAUUCUCCUUCUUCUUUAAGCACUGACGUGCUCAUUAUGCUUAAACUAAUAAGUACCAGACGAUGUAAGACUCGUUUCGCUAGCCUAAAUCUAUCUUAUUGUUAGCCGCACUCCACUCACAAUAGACAUCGGCAUGAGAGCCUAGCUCUCCCUAUUGUAUAACCUGGCUCAGCCGAGACUCAUUUCACACUUUCGGCUUGUAAGUGGCUCUGAUACUAGCUGUGACGCCCUAAGUUCCUAGGGGGUCACCCAUCCUAGGACUACUCCUGUCCUAACCCGGCUUAAGUAUUUUGGGCGGCGGGUAAAUUCGAAAGGUUAAGAGAGUUAAACAUGCUGGACGGGAGUCGUCCUAGGAUGGGUGACCCCUUGGGAAGUUAGGGCAUCACAAAUUAAAUUUUAAAAAUUUUAGAAAUAGUACUAUUUCUAAAUAUGUUGAAUUUAAAUAUUAAAUAUAUUUAAAUUUAAAUUAGAGAAAUUUUGUAUUACUAUUUUAAAAAAAUUAAUAUUGGUAAAUAUUUAAAAUUCAACAUAUUUAAUAUGUUUAAAA
Molecule: long non-coding RNA, 707 nt
Filed under: Ananas comosus (pineapple)
Lineage: Eukaryota; Viridiplantae; Streptophyta; Magnoliopsida; Poales; Bromeliaceae
Description: long non-coding RNA (ACOM_LNC025530)
Source: RNAcentral